Molecule: transfer RNA, 74 nt
Filed under: Erwinia phage phiEa21-4
Lineage: Duplodnaviria; Heunggongvirae; Uroviricota; Caudoviricetes; Andersonviridae
Also listed under: 2 other names
Rfam family: tRNA
About the family: Transfer RNA (tRNA) molecules are approximately 80 nucleotides in length.
Source: Rfam by way of RNAcentral
AGCCCUUUAUCUUAAAUGGAUAGAGACUCAAGCUACGAACUUGAGAGGUUUGGGUUCGAAUCCCAAAAGGGCUU